ACUCCUACGGGAGGCAGCAGUGGGGAAUCUUAGACAAUGGGCGCAAGCCUGAUCUGGCCAUGCCGCGUGAGCGAUGAAGGCCUUAGGGUUGUAAAGCUCUUUCAGGGGGGAAGAUAAUGACUGUACCCCCAGAAGAAGCCCCGGCUAACUCCGUGCCAGCAGCCGCGGUAAU
RNAcentral lists this ribosomal RNA (172 nucleotides) under uncultured bacterium. RNAcentral's name for it is "partial 16S ribosomal RNA". It matches the Rfam family "Bacterial small subunit ribosomal RNA", at positions 335 to 524 of the family's 1533-position model. The record is from RNAcentral.